AAAAAAGUAAUGUAUUUUUCAAAAUUAUUUUCAGAAAUGAAGCAGACUUAUAAAUAGUUCAAAAUACUGUAACUACAUAAAUGAAAAUAAAUUUGUGGAAUUGUAAACUGCGUAACAGAUGUUUAUGGAUUUAGAUUAAGAAUUUAAUGAUCAAAUAUUAUGUAUUUCUAUAAGAGGUGUUCUUGUAUGGAGGUUGAGACAGGGUGCUUAAUAUGGGCUAUAUUUACAGCUAUUAUAAAAGGAAUAGCAACAUUAUUGGGUAUUGUAUUCCUCAUCUUCUUGAAUAUCGAGUUCAUACAGCUAUCUGAAGAUAAAGGGUUGGGAAAUGUUCUGAGUCUAAUUUUCAACAUUGUCGGAAUAUUUAUACUUUCCCUAAUAAUUAGUUCAUUUAUCUUUUCGAUAUAUCUGCUGCUUGGAGUUAUUAAGAAACGGCCGCAGUACAUCAAAGCAUACUUUAUAUACAGUGUCAUGAUUUUUUCUAUGUUGGUGGUUAUAUGCUUGAUUUUAACGGCUACUGCGAGCGAUAUGAUGCUAUCUUCCGUUUUCUGCAUUUCAAUUUUAGGUUUCCACGGUCUUAUUUUAAACAUGGUUUAUAAGACAUAUGAAAAAUUCAAUGGAGAUUUGUUUCAACAGUAUAAUAAUUACUCACAAGUUACAACAGUAUAGUCACUCACACGUGAAUAAUGGAAGCGAAAAAAAAUUAUAUUUUUAAAUGAAUUGAUAUUAUAAAUUAUUUAUGAUUACUGACAUAUGUACCAAAGAUACUAGCUAAGGCGAAAAAUUUAAGCUAAUAAUUGUAUGAUAGAAACUAAAAUAUCUAACUACAUAACUAUUAAUAAUAAGAGUAUUUUAAUAAAAUUAACUAGACUUCCAUUUUUACCCCACCAAUUAAGAUAUUAUUUGACCCCGUUUUUCAAUGUUGUAAAUAACCCUCAUAAUUAUUAUUAACCCUCAUAGUUAUUUAUACACAUAUUUACCUACUUAAAAUAAAAGUGUGUAAAUCUACCACUACAAGCCUAUAAUUUUUAUUAUAUUAUGUAGUACAUAUUAUAAUAAUUAUAUUUACAAUGUAACGCGCGAGAUGGAAAAUUAAAUUGUCGAAAAAUCUGAAACAUUUGCUAGCAAUUUAACUAUCUUUCGACAAUUUACAGUCUCGCGAAUCUAUCCUAAUCUUGAUAGUAAAAUGACGGUGUUUACAAUUGUAUGGUAAAACAUAUAUUUAUACCUUUUAGUCCAUUUUGUAAUGAAAAUAACCCUUUUUUUAUAAUUUUUAUCAAACGUUUUUUUUAAGGUAGAUCGUGAAUUUAACAUCACAAAACGUUAAUAUAGAUUUGAAAUUUAUAAUAAAUUUUUUACUUUCUUUUGUUUCAUUUAAUUAGGUAAGUGCGCAUGACUUAGUUACCCUGUAUUGAUUUAAAUAAAUUGUUUAAUACAUCUUUAGAACAUUUUAUUAUUUCUUUACAUGAUAAUUUUUAACGAUUCAUAAAAUUCAAUGAUCUAUAUGUCAUACAAAAUACGAACAUGUAUUGUCCAUGGUUUAAAAUUUAAGAGCGGUUUCAGACUAGCGUAUUUUUUUGGGCGUAGGUAUACGGUUGUUUCAGCAUACUUAUUUAUAUAAGCGCGCUACAUUACGCGCUUCAAACCAUACUCGCGUAAACGGGCAUAUUUCGGGUUGUUCGCUCGCACUGGUGGUGUCGUCAAUAUCAACAUGGAUUCUGACGCAGAUUACUAUUUAGUAUUUACGAGCUUUAGAAGCGCGUCGCGCUCGUACGAGUCGAGCGUGCGACAAAAGGCGCGCCUGUGCCCUGUACGCGCCAACAUGCGCUUCCAAAAACGAGCUCACACGCGCGUAUAAAACGCUAGUCUCAAACCGCUCUUAAUUGUCUCGCUUUUAGAAGAUCAAGAUCAUAGACUAGCAACUAGUCUAUAAUCUUAGAUGUAUCUCUGAAUUUCCUGGCAGACUGUUAGGCGCCUACGACUGCUAUUGAUCUGGUACUUUUACUGCGACUAAAUUUUGACUUUAGUCUCUGUUUAGUGCAGACAACCGCACUAUGAUUAUAAAUAAAUAUAGUGUUUAUUGUAAAACGUAAAAAGAAAGUGGUAAGAUACUGUGAUAAAUACGACAAAAAUGUUAUCCUACAAAUUAUUCUUAGUUGUAAAUUUCUAAUAUGGACUCAGAAUAGUAUUGUAAUUAAAACUAGAAAUGAUAUCUUAAACAAUUACAGCCUCAUAGCAUGCGUUAUUUAAGUGAAUUUAUUUUCAGUGUAUGUUAUGAAAUAAAUAUAUAUUUCUUAAAACUCAACGGACGUAAUUAAUAUUAUAAAUUAUGUGUCUGGACAUGAAUUUUACAAUGAUUAAGAUGACAAAAUGCAAUAAGCAAUGCAAUAAGAUGUGUAUGGACGGGAGAUGUUGCGGUAUGGAGGUAGAGACAGGGUGUCUCAUAUGGGCCAUUAUAAGUACUAUCCUUUCAGCCUUGGCGAUGUUAUUCUCUUGGAGUUUAAUUUUCUAUAUUAAUUAUUUCGUGGGUCAUGGCGGCGACCCUAUAGGUUUCGCUGUUCUUCAAGUGUAUAACAUACUAUUUAUACUUGUAAGUUGUUCAAUAACAUCAUCAUUUGUUUUUUCGGUAAUUCUGCUGGUUGGAGUUGUCAAGAAAAAAGCGAAAUAUCUCGAAUCCUACAUCACUUUUGGAAUAUUUAUAACUGUUUUUAUGCUGGCUGUGUUUGUGGCUGUUUCUUUAUUAUCAGAACUUGGUGGUUCCGAUGGCUUUGUUAUUUAUUUAGUAUGUUCCAUUGCUUUUAUCAUAUUAUUAGGUUUAUACUAUGGACUUAUUUUACACAUGGUGAAAGUUACGUCCCUUAAAUUUAACGGAAAUUUAGCACAACAGAACUCAGAUGCAGAAAAGACGAACGUUUAAGCAGUGGUGGCGAGGAUAGAUUAAUUUAUUCAAUUAAAAUGGGAUUAUAAUAAAUUAUUAAACACUCAAACACUCCUACAA
Molecule: RNA transcript, 2995 nt
Organism: Colias croceus (clouded yellow)
Lineage: Eukaryota; Metazoa; Arthropoda; Insecta; Lepidoptera; Pieridae
Exons: 9
Source: RefSeq, a predicted model, not a curated record